AUGUAAUGCCUAAAACGUUAAUGCAUCAGAUCCCAUUAGAACUCAAUAGUUAGGCAUGCUUGGGCUAUAGUAGUAAUAGGAUGGGUGACCUCCUGAGAAGUCCUAGUGUUUUACAUG
This is a non-coding RNA of Picea glauca (white spruce), 117 nucleotides long. The record is from Rfam. Lineage: Eukaryota; Viridiplantae; Streptophyta; Pinopsida; Pinales; Pinaceae.